Molecule: ribosomal RNA, 253 nt
Filed under: uncultured bacterium
Lineage: Bacteria
Description: partial 16S ribosomal RNA
Rfam family: Bacterial small subunit ribosomal RNA
Source: RNAcentral
UACGAAGGGGGCUAGCGUUGCUCGGAAUUACUGGGCGUAAAGCGUGCGCAGGCGGUGAGCUGUGUCCGAUGUGAAAGCCCCGGGCUUAACCUGGGAAUGGCAUUGGAAACUGGCUCGCUGGAGUGUGGCAGAGGGGGGUGGAAUUCCGCGUGUAGCAGUGAAAUGCGUAGAGAUGCGGAGGAACACCGAUGGCGAAGGCAGCCCCCUGGGCUAACACUGACGCUCAGGCACGAAAGCGUGGGGAGCAAACAGG